Molecule: long non-coding RNA, 939 nt
Organism: Daphnia magna
Lineage: Eukaryota; Metazoa; Arthropoda; Branchiopoda; Diplostraca; Daphniidae
Exons: 7
Source: RefSeq, a predicted model, not a curated record
GUCGAUCUUGAACUCGGUUUCCCAAGUGAUUUAUUCCCUUUGUGUGACAUUGCACUAUUGCAGUUGCAGUCGAAGUCCUCGCGUUGCUGAGUCCCUCAAACAGCCUGCUGAUUUCUGAGCACAACAUCAAUCUUAAGUGAUUUCGUCGGCCGAAAGCGUCAGACGUUGAAUUCUGAGCACAGCAUCACCAUGGCUCAAAAUUAUUUGGUCGGCCGAAAGCGUCAGACAUUGAAUUCACCAUCUGAUAAGGGUAUGAAGGUGAAUUCCAUCAGUGCUGUACUUAAACAUUCUCUGUCAGUAGUUCCAUGUCCAGACGGGACAGAACAUCUAUGGGAUAGAAUCAUAUGCUACGUUGGACUUGGUUAUUCAGUGAGAAGAAUAACGUGAGCUGUACUUAAACAUUCUCUGUCAGUAGUUCCAUGUCCAGACGGGACAGAACAUCUAUGGGAUAGAAUCAUAUGCUACGUUGGACUUGGUUAUUCAGUGAGAAGAAUAACGUGAGAAGAAUAACAACACACAACAUUUCUCAUUAGACUUGCAGUUAGGGAUGACGACUUCAAAGACAAAACAUCUGGAACAGGUUGGAAAGAAUUGCUUCUCGUUCCUUCCAACAACCGGCUUUUCGUAACAACUGUUUCUAUCUCUCGUUUCACCAUGUUGAAUUCAACUUGACCGACAUCAGCAGUACUGCAGGAGCGACGCUUUCACUUUCAGAGCCUCAGGAACGCGAGGACUUCGACUGCAGUAUCACACAAAGAGACAGUGUUGCCACGAAAAAAAUCAUGAUCGGGAUCGUUUACUGUUAUAUUAAAGUCUGUUGGAGACAAUGUUGUCAUAACAUGCUUCAAAACUCUCCCUGUAACAAUUUCCCCUCCACUUUCUUUAAUGUAACUUUGCAAUUCUUCUACACAAAGAGAAAUACAGAUGGGAAAUAACAAA